Long non-coding RNA from Esox lucius (northern pike), 1018 nucleotides. NCBI's taxonomy places the organism in Eukaryota, Metazoa, Chordata, Actinopteri, Esociformes, Esocidae. The record is from Ensembl.
CCGGUAGUCAGAAGCUUGCCUUGGACACGCCAGACUUCGCAAGAUAGGAAGUCAAGACCUGAAUCACUAUGGACCGGAGGCAACGUUGCCCAAUUUUGCUCCCCUCAGCAGGAUCCCUGAGCUGUGAGCAGUAUCUAAACCCUGGUCUCACAAUGGAGCAGCUAACUAUAAGCCAGUGACUUUACUAAUGCAAUUGACAUCAGACAGAUAAUUAGACAUGGACUAUGGGCUGUCCCACCUCUAUGCAUUUGUUUGUGUACACAUUUGUGCAGUUCUGAUUUUCUGAUUUUGAUUAAACUUAGGUGAAUUAUGUACUGUAUCUUGGAAAUAAUUUUCAGUUGUACUCUUAUAGUUCCACCUGAUGAAAGAUUCUAGAUAUACAGUGGAUAUAAAAAGUCUACACACCUGUUAAAAUGGCAGGUUCUUGUGAUAUAAAAGAAUGAGACAAAGAUAAAUCCUUUGCACAUCCCUCUUCCGGUCACCCCACAGAUGUUCAAUUGGAUUCAGGUCUGGAGUCUGGCUGGGCCAUUCCAAAACAUUAAUCUUUUUCUGAUGAAGACAUGCUUUUGUGGAUUUGGAUGUGUGCUUUGGGUCGUUGUCAUGCUGAAAGGUGAACUUCCUUUUCAUCUUCAGUUUUCUAAUGGACGCCUGAAGAUUUUGUGCCAAAAUUGCCUGGUAUUUGUAACUGUUCAUAAUUCCCUCCACCCUGACUAAGGCCCUGGUUCCAGCUGAAGAAAAACAGCCCCAAAGCAUGAUGCUGCCACCACCAUGCUUCACUGUGGGCAUGGUGUUCAUUGGGUGAUGUGCAGUGUUGUUUUUACGCCAAACAUACCUUUUGGAAUUAUAGCCAAAAGGUUCAACCCUGGUUACAUCAGACCAUAACACAUUUUCACACAUGCUUUUGGGGGACUUGAUGUUUGUUUUUGCAAAUUUCAGCCAGGCUUGGAUGUUUUUCUUUGUAAGAAAAGGCUUCCGUCUUGCCACCCUACCCUAUAGCCCAUUCAUAUGAAGAAUACAG